Molecule: long non-coding RNA, 1087 nt
Organism: Erinaceus europaeus (western European hedgehog)
Lineage: Eukaryota; Metazoa; Chordata; Mammalia; Eulipotyphla; Erinaceidae
Exons: 2
Source: RefSeq, a predicted model, not a curated record
AAUGGAGGGGGAGGGGCUCGGGGCUUGAGGGGAGGCGGGAGCCGGGUGUCGGGCCGCGAGGGAGGAAGGAUGGGGAGGGGCGUAUCGAUUCAAACCCAAACAAUAACAAAGCCAUCAAAGGCUGCCCGGGGCCGGCUCGGCGGCUCUGUGUUUUCGGAGGUUUUUGGGUCAAGGGCUCGAGCCGGAGAGCAGAAGGAGCAGCGCCGAGGCGACUGGGCCUGGCGGGGCGGCCGAGCGGGGUGGUCUCCGUGUGACUCAGCCCGGGACCUCCUGGGCGGCUGGGGCGGGCUGACGACAGGCUGCGGGCUCGGGCUCGGUCCUCGGGGGUUGUGUAUUGGGGGGGCGGACCUGCAGGCUGUGAGUCACGGCGGUGUCACGGAGCGAGGGGGUGUCGAGGAGGGGCUCACGGGGAUGGGGGUGUCUCGGGCCCGCAGUCCAGCCUGGGGGGCCAGUCGGCGAGGGAGGGGUCCUGAUCACUGUCGCUUUCGAGCCGGUAGAGAAUAAAUAAAUAACUCGUUCUCCCGAGUCGCCACCAGAUUUCUAUUUUUAAAGAGCAGGGAGGUGCCAGCGAGUCCUGAUGGCUAAGAAGAGAUGAGUGUCAGAGUGCCCGGCAAAAAGGAAAUCACGAAACAAAUGCAAUAAUAGCAAUUAUCGGCAGCCGGGAAUCCGGUCUCAAAGGAAAUCCUCUUCUUCUCCCUGGGAUCUCCUCUUCGUCCCCACCGCCCCCCCACCACCACCCCGUGGAAAAAAUACGGAAAAACCGACUGAUUCGACUUGCCUCCUUUGUCCUUUUAAAGACUUGAAAACGAUGUGUAAAAUGAGUGGAUUAAAUUCUAUGCAAUCCAUAAACUGAACUGUCAAAGUGACCUGUGUCAUUGAAAAUAAGCUAUAUCCCAUUUUCACUUUUUUCUUCAAGUUUUUGCCAUUUAAAGGGGAAAAAAAAAUGAAGAGUUGCUAGGAUUGGACUGCCACAGACAUUAAUUAAUUUAAAUAUUUCAUUGAAAGUUUUCUGCAGUGCUUGUGUUAUAAAGAUGUCCAGAUAUUUCACAACUUUAAUGAAUGUAUCUAGUAAAGCAUUACAUAUUUU